UACGAAGGGGGCUAGCGUUGUUCGGUAUCACUGGGCUUAAAGAGUUCGUAGACGGCUCAGCAAGUCAGGUGUGAAAUCCCACAGCUCAACUGUGGAACUGCGCUUGAAACCGCUGGGCUUGAGGGAGAUAGAGGUAAGCGGAACAGAUGGUGGAGCGGUGAAAUGCGUUGAUAUCAUCUGGAACACCGGUGGCGAAAGCGGCUUACUGGGUCUUUUCUGACGCUGAGGAACGAAAGCUAGGGUAGCAAACGGG
RNAcentral lists this ribosomal RNA (253 nucleotides) under uncultured bacterium. Its description in RNAcentral is "partial 16S ribosomal RNA". It matches the Rfam family "Bacterial small subunit ribosomal RNA", at positions 524 to 776 of the family's 1533-position model. The record is from RNAcentral.